AGAGUUUGAUCCUGGCUCAGAUUGAACGCUGGCGGCAUGCCUUACACAUGCAAGUCGAACGGCAGCACGGGUGCUUGCACCUGGUGGCGAGUGGCGAACGGGUGAGUAAUAUAUCGGAACGUACCCUAGAGUGGGGGAUAACGUAGCGAAAGUUACGCUAAUACCGCAUACGAUCUACGGAUGAAAGUGGGGGAUCGCAAGACCUCAUGCUCAUGGAGCGGCCGAUAUCUGAUUAGCUAGUUGGUGGGGUAAAAGCCUACCAAGGCGACGAUCAGUAGCUGGUCUGAGAGGACGACCAGCCACACUGGAACUGAGACACGGUCCAGACUCCUACGGGAGGCAGCAGUGGGGAAUUUUGGACAAUGGGGGCAACCCUGAUCCAGCAAUGCCGCGUGAGUGAAGAAGGCCUUCGGGUUGUAAAGCUCUUUUGUCAGGGAAGAAACGGGAUUUUCUAAUACAAAGUCCUAAUGACGGUACCUGAAGAAUAAGCACCGGCUAACUACGUGCCAGCAGCCGCGGUAAUACGUAGGGUGCAAGCGUUAAUCGGAAUUACUGGGCGUAAAGCGUGCGCAGGCGGUUGUGCAAGACAGAUGUGAAAUCCCCGGGCUCAACCUGGGAAUUGCAUUUGUGACUGCACGGCUAGAGUGUGUCAGAGGGGGGUGGAAUUCCACGUGUAGCAGUGAAAUGCGUAGAGAUGUGGAGGAAUACCGAUGGCGAAGGCAGCCCCCUGGGAUAACACUGACGCUCAUGCACGAAAGCGUGGGGAGCAAACAGGAUUAGAUACCCUGGUAGUCCACGCCCUAAACGAUGUCUACUAGUUGUCGGGUCUUAAUUGACUUGGUAACGCAGCUAACGCGUGAAGUAGACCGCCUGGGGAGUACGGUCGCAAGAUUAAAACUCAAAGGAAUUGACGGGGACCCGCACAAGCGGUGGAUGAUGUGGAUUAAUUCGAUGCAACGCGAAAAACCUUACCUACCCUUGACAUGUACGGAACUUACCAGAGACGGUUUGGUGCUCGAAAGAGAACCGUAGCACAGGUGCUGCAUGGCUGUCGUCAGCUCGUGUCGUGAGAUGUUGGGUUAAGUCCCGCAACGAGCGCAACCCUUGUCAUUAGUUGCUACGAAAGGGCACUCUAAUGAGACUGCCGGUGACAAACCGGAGGAAGGUGGGGAUGACGUCAAGUCCUCAUGGCCCUUAUGGGUAGGGCUUCACACGUCAUACAAUGGUACAUACAGAGGGCCGCCAACCCGCGAGGGGGAGCUAAUCCCAGAAAGUGUAUCGUAGUCCGGAUUGUAGUCUGCAACUCGACUACAUGAAGUUGGAAUCGCUAGUAAUCGCGGAUCAGCAUGUCGCGGUGAAUACGUUCCCGGGUCUUGUACACACCGCCCGUCACACCAUGGGAGCGGGUUUCACCAGAAGUAGGUAGCCUAACCGCAAGGAGGGCGCUUACCACGGUGGGAUUCGUGACUGGGGUGAAGUCGUAACAAGGUA
Molecule: ribosomal RNA, 1491 nt
Filed under: metagenome
Description: bacterial SSU rRNA
Rfam family: Bacterial small subunit ribosomal RNA
Source: RNAcentral